RNAcentral lists this ribosomal RNA (429 nucleotides) under Bacteroidota bacterium. RNAcentral's name for it is "Bacteroidetes bacterium partial 16S ribosomal RNA". It matches the Rfam family "Bacterial small subunit ribosomal RNA", at positions 355 to 776 of the family's 1533-position model. The record is from RNAcentral. Lineage: Bacteria; Pseudomonadati; Bacteroidota.
UAGGGAAUCUUCGGCAAUGGGGGGAACCCUGACCGAGCAACGCCGCGUGAGUGAAGAAGGUUUUCGGAUCGUAAAGCUCUGUUGUUAAGGAAGAACGAGUGUGAGAAUGGAAAGUUCAUGCUGUGACGGUACUUAACCAGAAAGGGACGGCUAACUACGUGCCAGCAGCCGCGGUAAUACGUAGGUCCCGAGCGUUGUCCGGAUUUAUUGGGCGUAAAGCGAGCGCAGGCGGUUAGAAAAGUCUGAAGUGAAAGGCAGUGGCUCAACCAUUGUAGGCUUUGGAAACUGUUUAACUUGAGUGCAGAAGGGGAGAGUGGAAUUCCAUGUGUAGCGGUGAAAUGCGUAGAUAUAUGGAGGAACACCAAUGGCGAAGGCGACUCUCUGGUCUGUAACUGACGCUGAGGCUCGAAAGCGUGGGUAGCAAACAGG